UUGCCCACCCGGCCACAGUGAGCGGGCAACACCCGGACUCAUUUCGAACCCGGAAGUUAAGCCGCUCACGUUGGUGGGGCCGUGGAUACCGUGAGGAUCCGCAGCCCCACUAAGCUGGGAUGGGCUUU
This 128-nucleotide ribosomal RNA is filed under the name Saccharolobus shibatae. The record is from RNAcentral. RNAcentral also lists the same sequence under 1 other name. Lineage: Archaea; Thermoproteati; Thermoproteota; Thermoprotei; Sulfolobales; Sulfolobaceae.